RNAcentral lists this ribosomal RNA (659 nucleotides) under Qipengyuania vulgaris. RNAcentral's name for it is "bacterial SSU rRNA". It matches the Rfam family "Bacterial small subunit ribosomal RNA", at positions 27 to 732 of the family's 1533-position model. The record is from RNAcentral. Lineage: Bacteria; Pseudomonadati; Pseudomonadota; Alphaproteobacteria; Sphingomonadales; Erythrobacteraceae.
GAACGAACGCUGGCGGCAUGCCUAACACAUGCAAGUCGAACGAACCCUUCGGGGUUAGUGGCGCACGGGUGCGUAACGCGUGGGAACCUGCCUUUAGGUUCGGAAUAACUCAGAGAAAUUUGAGCUAAUACCGGAUAAUGUCUUCGGACCAAAGAUUUAUCGCCUUUAGAUGGGCCCGCGUUAGAUUAGAUAGUUGGUGGGGUAAUGGCCUACCAAGUCGACGAUCUAUAGCUGGUCUGAGAGGAUGAUCAGCCACACUGGGACUGAGACACGGCCCAGACUCCUACGGGAGGCAGCAGUGGGGAAUAUUGGACAAUGGGCGAAAGCCUGAUCCAGCAAUGCCGCGUGAGUGAUGAAGGCCUUAGGGUUGUAAAGCUCUUUUACCAGGGAUGAUAAUGACAGUACCUGGAGAAUAAGCUCCGGCUAACUCCGUGCCAGCAGCCGCGGUAAUACGGAGGGAGCUAGCGUUGUUCGGAAUUACUGGGCGUAAAGCGCGCGUAGGCGGCUUUUUAAGUCAGGGGUGAAAUCCCGGGGCUCAACCCCGGAACUGCCCUUGAAACUGGAUGGCUAGAAUACUGGAGAGGUGAGUGGAAUUCCGAGUGUAGAGGUGAAAUUCGUAGAUAUUCGGAAGAACACCAGUGGCGAAGGCGACUCACUGG